GAUGAACGCUGGCGGUAUGCUUAACACAUGCAAGUCGAACGGUCACUUCGGUGAUAGUGGCGGACGGGUGAGUAACGCGUGAGAAUCUGUCUUCAGGUCGGGGACAACAGUUAGAAAUGACUGCUAAUACCGGAUGUGCCUUUGGGUGAAAGAUUUAUUGCCUGAAAAAGAGCUCGCGUCAGAUUAGCUAGUAGGUGGUGUAAGAGACUACCUAGGCUCCGAUCUGUAGCUGGUCUGAGAGGACGAUCAGCCACACUGGAACUGAGACACGGUCCAGACUCCUACGGGAGGGAGCAGUGGGGAAUUUUCCGCAAUGGGCGAAAGCCUGACGGAGCAAUACCGCGUGAGGGACGAAGGCUUUUGGGUCGUAAACCUCUUUUCUCAAGGAAGAUGAUGACGGUACUUGAGGAAUAAGCAUCGGCUAACUCUGUG
This 432-nucleotide ribosomal RNA is filed under the name uncultured bacterium. RNAcentral's name for it is "partial 16S ribosomal RNA". It matches the Rfam family "Bacterial small subunit ribosomal RNA", at positions 28 to 507 of the family's 1533-position model. The record is from RNAcentral.